Molecule: long non-coding RNA, 322 nt
Filed under: Trifolium pratense (red clover)
Lineage: Eukaryota; Viridiplantae; Streptophyta; Magnoliopsida; Fabales; Fabaceae
Description: long non-coding RNA (TPRA_LNC005623)
Source: RNAcentral
ACUAACUAAAACUAACUGACAAUAAAAGAAAACAUUGAUUUAUCUACUAAACAUUAACGAAAAAAGAGUAUAAGAAGAAUGAAAAUAAAGAAGAGAUUCAAACCUUAAUUGAAAUUCCUAGCUUUUUGUGAGUUGUGAGAGUGAUAAUUGUGUGUAAAAAGUGAAUGUUAAGACCCUAUUUAUAGAUUUCUAAUUCUACUGCUACAUGGUAAAUUCUCAGUCCACGUUUUCACUUUCAAUUUGUGAAGAAAAAUUAGCCACCUUGUAUGCAUAGAUGUAGUUCUUAUCUUAAAAUUAAAUGCAUGCUUAUCUCUAAUCUUUC